This 120-nucleotide ribosomal RNA is filed under the name Helianthus annuus (common sunflower). Lineage: Eukaryota; Viridiplantae; Streptophyta; Magnoliopsida; Asterales; Asteraceae. The record is from RNAcentral.
GGUUGCGAUCAUACCAGCACUAAUGCACCGUAUCCCAUCAAAACUCCGCAGUUAAGCGUGCUUGGGCGAGAGUAGUACUAGGAUGGGUCACCCCCUGGGAAGUUCUCGUGUUGCAACCCC